GUAGGUGGCAAGCGUUGUCCGGGAAUUAUUGGGGCGUGAAGCGCGCGCAGGCGGUCCUUUAAGUCUGAUGUGAAAGCCCACGGGCUCAACCGUGGAGGGUCAUUGGAAACUGGGGGACUUGAGUACAGAAGAGGAAAGCGGAAUUCCAAGUGUAGCGGUGAAAUGCGUAGAGAUUUGGAGGAACACCAGUGGCGAAGGCGGCUUUCUGGUCUGUAACUGACGCUGAGGCGCGAAAGCGUGGGGAGCAAACAGGAUUAGAUACCCUGGUAGUCCACGCCGUAAACGAUGAGUGCUAAGUGUUAGGGGGUUUCCGCCCCUUAGUGCUGCAGCUAACGCAUUAAGCACUCCGCCUGGGGAGUACGGCUGCAAAGGCUG
RNAcentral lists this ribosomal RNA (375 nucleotides) under uncultured organism. RNAcentral's name for it is "partial 16S ribosomal RNA". It matches the Rfam family "Bacterial small subunit ribosomal RNA", at positions 527 to 896 of the family's 1533-position model. The record is from RNAcentral.